UACCAGAAAACAUUUACAAUAGGAAAAACUCGACGCGUAGAAAAAAAAAGUAAAAAGAAAGAAUAGAAUUUGAGCGAAUACGAUGAAGGAACUCGUAAGAAGAGGAAAUCUCAGAGAUGACACUCACGCAUUUAAAACGUUAAAAACGUCUCUUUCUUCGUUACUCUCUCAAACAUUUACUCCAAAACAACAGACUCAACAGACUCAACCAUAAAAAAAAAAAUAAAAAGGGGGAAAGGCGUAGAGUUUGAAUGAAUGUGAAGGACGGAUGGGAAGGAGAAGGGAGGGAUUCGUGUAAAGGGUGAUGAAAGAGGAGGAGGUAUCGAGGAUGGCACAGAGGGCAAAAGACGAGGUUACUGCGCAAGAAAGUGAGGGGCGGUGGGCGCAUGAUCCUCCUGAGCCUCGUAAGGUGAGGAGAGCAGCUAAUAAGGCGUAUCAGUUACCAAGGAGACGAGGUCUCCUUAACGGCGAAGAAGAAUGGCGGGCAAGAAGGCAAGAAGAGGAACCCCCGAGGGUUCGCAGCUUGGAAAACUCAUAAGUUUCAAUUUAGCCGGGGAUCAGCGUCCUCCGACGAGCUUUACGGGCUAAGCGCCGCGCCUUAUAUUGAUUUUCGCCCAUUUCGACCUUCUCCGACCAAACCUUUUCCACCUUUUGGAGAACGAACCGUGGAUGGAGAACAGGAGGAUCGAAGAAAGCAAUCAACGUCUGGGUCUAAAUUAGGUCUAAGAAUUAUUUGAUAAAAUGAUCUCACUUUUUUUUUUAUUUGGAAAAGAAAUAUACCAGAUAUAAAUAUCGAGAUAUAUGUUAUCUUGUUUCUAUUUGAAUGAAAAGAAUAACAUUAAUUUUAAAGUAACAUUAGUUUUACGAUUUAAUCAAAAGAUGCUAGAUCAGUAUUUAAUUUUGCACAAAAUUUUACGUAUCAAGUUCGGUUAAAAAUAGAAUUUUCAAAGAAGAGAUAUUGAAUUUUCGAUACAAUAAAAUUUACGAAUAAGUAAUAAAUAAUCCUCAAAAUGAUGUUCUUCUCCAAUUUCACGAGUCUUGGAAUCAUCAUUAUAAAAUACAAAAGGUUAAGAGAAUCAAUCAAUUUGAUUUGGAUUCGUAGUUGUUGAAUAUUUCUAAAUAUUAAUAUCUAAAUAUUAUUAAAUAUAAUUAAAUAUUAUACUAACAGCAAAUGGUUCAUAAUUUCAUUUGAAGCAAAGAUAAAUCUCGAUAAAAAAUUGUUUUCCUAUAAUUUUCAGCAUCCGAUCUGAACCUACAUUCAUUCUACAAAAAAUAGAAUACAACGUAUAGCGUACAAUUUGAUUCCACUUUGUAUCUUGCGUCAUUUGAAUAAUCCACCGAUGACUGAAAUAAUUCCGGAAAUAUCUGUAUCAUUUACCAUAACUGGAAUUGAUUCCAGGAUAGGGGCACGUGUAAAAUUAGACGCGUUGGCGGAGUAUGGUCACGAUGCACGGAUGUUUGUUAUGCCACGGUGCACGAGCGAAGAUUCCACGAUGCGAAUAUCUUCGUCAUAGGUACAAUUUUAACUAACCGUCUCAUUCAUCGUGUUUCGCAAUUCGAAUGCACCCACGCUAUAUCCUUAGAUACGAUUUUUAACUUUUAUCAUCACGCCUUGAUCUUCGACGAAGGUGAAAACUAUUAUUUUCUCCACAUCGAAUGCAAAUGGAUAUUUGUCGUUUCUGGUAUUUCUUUUCUUUCGACAAUUGCUUUUUAACUAAUCUAACUAAUCUCUCGAACAGAGAUCGACGAGUAUUUUAAUCAAAAAGAGUUCUUAUAUUGUGAAUAUUUAAUUAUUUUCUUGAUAAUCGAAUUAUUUUCUUUAAUUCCGUAGAAUUUAUAUUGUAAUUUAUUGUGAUUCUUUUAUAUUACAAAGUUGG
Apis cerana (Asiatic honeybee) is the source of this 1877-nucleotide long non-coding RNA. RefSeq lists it as uncharacterized. NCBI's taxonomy places the organism in Eukaryota, Metazoa, Arthropoda, Insecta, Hymenoptera, Apidae. The record is from RefSeq and is a predicted model, not a curated record.